CCCUUAGAUGUUCUGGGCCGCACGCGCGCUACACUGAUGCAUUCAACGAGCCUAUCCUUGACCGACAGGUCCGGGUAAUCUUUGAAUCUGCAUCGUGACGGGGAUAGAUUAUUGCAAUUAUUAAUCUUCAACGAGGAAUUCCUAGUAAAUGCAGAUCAUCAUUCUGCGUUGAUUACGUCCCUGCCCUUUGUACACACCGCCCGUCGCACCUACCGAUUGAAUGAUCCGGUGAAGCCUCGGGAUUGUGCCCAGAGAACUUUAUUGUGAUUUGGGUGUGAGAACUUGUCUAAACCUUAUCAUUUAGAGGAAGGUGAAGUCGUAACA
Molecule: ribosomal RNA, 324 nt
Filed under: uncultured eukaryote
Lineage: Eukaryota
Description: partial 18S ribosomal RNA
Rfam family: Eukaryotic small subunit ribosomal RNA
Source: RNAcentral